This 71-nucleotide transfer RNA is filed under the name Amblyomma nuttalli. RNAcentral describes it as "tRNA-Asn". Lineage: Eukaryota; Metazoa; Arthropoda; Arachnida; Ixodida; Ixodidae. The record is from RNAcentral.
UUAAUAGAAGCCAAACUAGCGGCUAUUCACUGUUAAUGAAUUUAUUGAUUAAGAUCUUUAAUCCUAUUAAA